AGCAGCCGCGGUAAUUCCAGCUCCAAUAGCGUAUAUUAAAGUUGUUGCAGUUAAAAAGCUCGUAGUUGAACUUCGGGGUCUACCCAUUGGUCAGGCUUAAUUGUCUGCACUGGUGAGAUGGAUCUCUACCUUCCGAGGAACUUUCAUGCCAUUUAUUUGGUGUGAUGGGAAAUCAGGACUGUUACUUUGAAAAAAUUAGAGUGUUUAAAGCAGACUAUCGUCUGAAUACAUUAGCAUGGAAUAAUGAAAUAGGACGGACUGAUUCUAUUUCGUUGGUUUCUAGGAUCACCGUAAUGAUUAAUAGGGAUAGUUGGGGGCAUUAGUAUUCAAUUGUCAGAGGUGAAAUUCUUGGAUUUAUUGAAGACUAACUACUGCGAAAGCAUUUGCCAAGGAUGUUUCAUUAAUCAAGAACGAAAGUUAGGGGAUACGAAGACGAUCAGAUACCGUCGUAGUCUUAACCAUAAACUAUGCCGACUAGGGAUCGGACGAAGUUAAUUUUAUAAUGACGCGUUCGGCCG
RNAcentral lists this ribosomal RNA (518 nucleotides) under uncultured Diversispora. RNAcentral describes it as "SSU rRNA". It matches the Rfam family "Eukaryotic small subunit ribosomal RNA", at positions 569 to 1086 of the family's 1831-position model. The record is from RNAcentral. Lineage: Eukaryota; Fungi; Glomeromycota; Glomeromycetes; Diversisporales; Diversisporaceae.